UUGCAUAAGGAUAGAAUUGCAGACGAUUUUUAUCCGGGGAUUUCACAGAAGGCAUCCCCCAAUUCUAUGUCUUGAAUCGGCACUUCAAGUUUAUCGACGAUUUAACCUUCCCUUCGAUGAUCGAUCGAUCCGUUAAGAAUGAUUUGAAAAGAUCGAUUCGAGAAUAUGAAGGGGUCAAUCGUUUCUAUUGCACGGAUGUUUCCUACCAAUCUCCACCCAAUCUGAAAACCAUUACCAGGGAUUAAUAUCAACAACUGAACCUUCAAGUACCGUCUAGAAAUAGAACCAGAGAAAGAGGACAAGGAAACCAAGAAGAAGAAAGGAAAGAGGAAAGAAGAGAAGAAGGUCAGGGAAAGGGAGGACAACACUGUUCUACGGCAACUGUGGGUGAGAGUCGGUUUUGGAUUGUGAAUUUGGCACUAGUAACAGCUGGUUCUGCGUUGUUCUGUUUAGAGGAAUGAGUCUUCGUUGGCUGUAGCUUCCUUUCAACAACCCUUCAUCUUCCUUCAGUGUUCUUCACAGUCGUGAGGAGAUCGUAUUGUGAAUGAUGAUGGCUUUCUUCUCAUUGGGAUAUCCCUCAUUCUCCUGGUUUUUCGGCGCUUUCUCACAACGUUCAACUCUAUCAGCAGCCAAUUUGGUCCAUCUCGGUUCUGCAUCUUCGUUCUCCAUUCCGGCCGGCGACGGUUUGAGCACUGGCUCUCUUUCUCUUGGUAUUCGAUGUAAUUACUUUGGGCAGUUUCUUCAUCAUUUUUCUUCCUGACCAGCCAAUGCAUGCGAUUGCCUUACUAUGGUGAUUUCCGGUGAUUGGGAUGCUUAUAUUCAUGAGGCUAAUAAGCUUGGUGGUAGACCAAUUCAACAGCGGCAACUUAGGCCAAUGAAUGAUUUAUUGAACAGAGAUUGCCUUGAUGAAAUUGGUUUGAGAGGAUAUCAAUUCACUUGGACUAAUAGACAAAGAGGGGAUCAACGUAUUGAAGAAAGCUUGAUCGUUUUCUGAUAAAUGAUCUGUGGCUCGAGCUGCAUCCUAAUGCUCAGGUCCAAUUGGAAUUGAUGGCUACAUUUGAUCAUAGGGCCCUCGUUCUUUAUACUGAGCAAUCAAGAGUUCGAAGACAUCGACCCUUUCGGUUUGAUGCACUAUGGCUCAUGGAACCAUCAUUCAUGGAUCAAGUCUUCUCGUCCUGGUCUGCAAAUGGUCGGAAUGGUUCCCCUUCAUUCCGAUAUUGUGCUAAACUGAGUGCUUUGGCAACAAAUCUAAAAAUCUGGAAUAAAAGCAUUGUGGGAAAUAUAUUUCACAAGAUUGAACACACCAAUAAUGCACUCAACAAUCUCCAAUAGGUUGAUCCUUCUCUUAGAGAGCAGCGAUGGUUUGAUCAAGAACUGGAAAUGUCUUCCACUCUCCGGCGUUUAUACUACCAAGAAGAAGUCCUUUGGCAGCAGAAAUCAAGGGUAGAGUGGCUCACUAAAGGUGAUCCAUUUACUAACGAUGAAAAGAAGAGCUAGAAAUGAGAUUAAAUCGAUCAUCAAGGAUGGCAUUACUCUCUCUGAUGAAGCCUCAGUGGGUGAAGCCUUGAUUAGAAGCUACAAAAGCUUAUUCACUUCCACUAAUCCUCCUCCUGAUGAAGAGUAUUUUGAACCUAUCCAGAAUCGUGUUUCUGAUGCAGAUAACAUCCAUCUCACAAAACCUGUUACUGCACAGGAAAUCACAGAUACUGUUCACGCUAUGCUGCCACAUAAAGCACCAGGUCCUGAUGGAUUUUCGGGAUAUUUCUUCCACAAACAUGGCCAAUUAUUCGGGAGAAAGUUACUGCAUGCAUUAUGGAAUUUUUCAGGUCUGGUACCUUCUCCAGAAAUUUGAACCCCACAAAUAUUGCUCUCAUCCCCAAAGUAUCACAGCCACUGUCUGUUGGUGACUACCGCCUGAUCAGCUUGUGUAAUUUCACAUACAAGAUAAUCUCAAAGAUCAUAGUGAGCAGACUGUGGCCCAUUCUUCAUAAAGUCGUAUUGUUUCAUCAAAAUGGCUUCAUCAAAGGAAGAUGCAUACAAGACAAUGUCCUCAUUACAAAUGAAAUAGUGCAAAAAAUUAAGAACACCCACAGAGGUCGGAACGGUUUAUUCUCACUAAAAGUAGAUAUGAGCAAGGCGUAUGAUAAGGUGGAAUGGACAUUCCUUUGCAAAACUCUAUUAAGCUAUGGCUUUGUUCCUGAUUGGGUCAAGAAGGUAAUGUUCUAUGUCGAGAGUACCCAACUUUGCAUUCUACUCAACGGAGCUCAACUCUCACCUUUCAGGCCUUCCAGAGAACUAUGGCAGGGAGAUCUGCUCUCCCCUUACCUGUUUGUUUUGUGUGCAGAGCUACCAUCAUCCCACCUUACUUUAGCCCUCAACUCCAAGCGGUUGAAUGGGAUUCAAUUAUGCAGGGGAGGUGAACGCUUGUCCCAUGGCGUUUAUGGAUGACUUAAUUUUUUUUGGCAAAGCAUGCAUAUCUGAGGUUAGGCAGUUGAAUGAUAUCAUCAACACCUACUGCAGGGUUUCCGGUCAGAGCAUCAAUAUUCAAAAGACCCGAGCACAGUUCAGUCCUAACGUUUCUUCAUAUACCAAAAGACAUAUAAGGGAGUUCUUUUAAAUUUCACCCCCCAAUUCACUGGAGAAAUAUCUUGGAAUUCCUCUGUUUGCAGACAGAUUCCAAAAAUCUCAAUGUGAUGAUUUGGUCCAGUGCGUCUCGCAGCACCUUCAACACUGGAAAGCCCAAGUCUUCUGCCCGGCCGGGAAAACUAUUCUAAUUCAGUCUACAUUAUUGGCAAUGCCCAUUUACACUGUCAUGCUUCAAUCUUCCAGUCUAAGUGCAUAAAAUGCUGGAUAAGACCUACAAAGAUUUCUACUGGUCGAAUGGUACCUCGUCUCACAUUCCAACAGUGGCCUGGUCGGAGAUUUGCAGACCUAAGAGGUUUGGAGGUCUUAACAUUAAGAGAACGGGCAGCAUGAACAAAGCGCUACUGGCAAAGAAAGGAUGGGAAUUGUUAUCGCAACCGACAACUCUUUGGGCUCGCCUGAUGAAGAAGAAGUACUUUCCCAAUUCGUCAUUCAUGGAUGCCAGUUGUCCAGCAACUGCAUCUUGGGGCUGGAAAUCUAUAUGUUCGACCAGAGAUCUUCUGAGAAAGGGGACAUUUAUACAGCUGGGGAAUGGUGAAUCAAUUAACCCAUGGACUGAUUACUGGAUCCCAAAUUUCCCACCAUCUGCAACCCCAUUUCCCAUUCUCCCUAAUGCUCCUACAUUGGUGGAUAUGCUCAUUGACUCAUCGUUCGUGGAGGCAAGAAGUUAUUAUGCAGUGGCGGCCUAAGGAUGUUGCUACUUCCAUUAUGUCUAUUCCCAUACCGCUUCAACCUCGGCCAGACAAGUUGAUUUGGGCAGCUACUGCGACUAGAACCUUCAUAGUGGCAUCGAUAUAUAUCAUUGAAGUUGGUGGAUUUUCUCCACCUCUUUCCAAAAUUUGGUUGAAGAUCUAGCAUUCCCCUUCCGAGCCUAGAACUCAACAUCUUCUUUGGAAGACCUUGCACAAUAGACUUUCACUGCCUGACCUCCUCAACCAACGAGGGAUGUCCCAAGACCCAAUUUGCUCUCUCUGCGCCCAACAUUUCCAAGAUGCAAACCAUCUUUUCACCACAUGCACUGUCACUGCCCAGAAAUGGUCUCUUACGAGGUUGGGAAUCAAUCUCACAUCCACACCAUUCAGGAAUUGAUAAUUAGGAUCUUAUCCAAUUUCAGACCUUCCUCCACGACUAGCCUGCAAACUGCCCUCUUUUGCUCCAUUCUCUGGAAUAUAUGGGUUGGCUAUUGGGAUCUCAUUUUCAGGAACAAUGCAUUUAAUACCUAUCAGGUUCUUCUCAAGGCAAUCAGAAAUGCCAAGGAAGUGUCCUCCCAUUUCAAUGUGAAGCUGGUUCGUCCUCCACGUUCACUAUCUUGGACAUCCCCUCCCGAUGGCUGCCUGAAAUUUAACAUGGAUGGUGCAAGCAAAGGAACCCAGGUCUGGCUGGGGUCUGAGGAAUUUUCCAGGACCACAACAAUGUUUUCAUAUGUUGUUUCUUUGGUGGUGUGGGAGUCAAUCAUGCUGUCACUGCGGAAGCUCUGGCUAUUAGAUAUGCUCUCAGGGUGGCUGCCAAUCUGAAUGCUCCGGCCAUUAUAAUAGAGAGCGACAAUCUUCUGGUUAUCAAUUCCCUCAAAGGCCUGGACCUGAACUGCCCGUGGAGGAUUUAUCUAAUUCUGGAGGACCGUCUCCCACUUAUUUCGAAUUACCAAUACAUCAGGUUUAAAUGCUGCUUUCGGGAGGUGAACAGCGUGGCAGACUCUUGCUUCCAAGGCUACAAGCUCUCAACAGGUCUUAACUGUUAUGUUUUCUCCACCAGCUUUUCUUUCUAAUCUCCUGUAUGCUGAUUGCUCUGGUUGUAUCUUUCUUCAUUAAUAAAAGUCUUUUACCAAAAAAAAGUAAGAGACAUGACCCUGAA
Macadamia integrifolia is the source of this 4494-nucleotide long non-coding RNA. RefSeq lists it as uncharacterized. The transcript is spliced from 2 exons. The record is from RefSeq and is a predicted model, not a curated record. Lineage: Eukaryota; Viridiplantae; Streptophyta; Magnoliopsida; Proteales; Proteaceae.